UACGUAGGUGGCAAGCGUUGUCCGGAAUUAUUGGGCGUAAAGAGCAUGUAGGCGGGCUUUUAAGUCCGACGUGAAAAUGCGGGGCUUAACCCCGUAUGGCGUUGGAUACUGGAAGUCUUGAGCGCAGGAGAGGAAAGGGGAAUUCCCAGUGUAGCGGUGAAAUGCGUAGAUAUUGGGAGGAACACCAGUGGCGAAGGCGCCUUUCUGGACUGUGUCUGACGCUGAGAUGCGAAAGCCAGGGUAGCAAACGGG
Molecule: ribosomal RNA, 252 nt
Filed under: Acidaminococcus fermentans DSM 20731
Lineage: Bacteria; Bacillati; Bacillota; Negativicutes; Acidaminococcales; Acidaminococcaceae
Description: partial 16S ribosomal RNA
Rfam family: Bacterial small subunit ribosomal RNA
Source: RNAcentral